RNAcentral lists this ribosomal RNA (370 nucleotides) under uncultured organism. RNAcentral describes it as "partial 16S ribosomal RNA". It matches the Rfam family "Bacterial small subunit ribosomal RNA", at positions 527 to 896 of the family's 1533-position model. The record is from RNAcentral.
GUAGGUGGCAAGCGUUAUCCGGAAUUAUUGGGCGUAAAGCGCGCGCAGGCGGUUUCUUAAGUCUGAUGUGAAAGCCCACGGCUCAACCGUGGAGGGUCAUUGGAAACUGGGGAGCUUGAGUGCAGAAGAGAAAAGCGGAAUUCCACGUGUAGCGGUGAAAUGCGUAGAGAUGUGGAGGAACACCAGUGGCGAAGGCGGCUUUUUGGUCUGUAACUGACGCUGAGGCGCGAAAGCGUGGGGAGCAAACAGGAUUAGAUACCCUGGUAGUCCACGCCGUAAACGAUGAGUGCUAAGUGUUAGAGGGUUUCCGCCCUUUAGUGCUGCAGCUAACGCAUUAAGCACUCCGCCUGGGAGUACGGUCGCAAGACUG